AUUGAACGCUGGCGGCAGGCCUAACACAUGCAAGUCGAGCGGAUGAAGGGAGCUUGCUCCUGGAUUCAGCGGCGGACGGGUGAGUAAUGCCUAGGAAUCUGCCUGGUAGUGGGGGAUAACGUCCGGAAACGGGCGCUAAUACCGCAUACGUCCUGAGGGAGAAAGUGGGGGAUCUUCGGACCUCACGCUAUCAGAUGAGCCUAGGUCGGAUUAGCUAGUUGGUGGGGUAAAGGCCUACCAAGGCGACGAUCCGUAACUGGUCUGAGAGGAUGAUCAGUCACACGUGAACUGAGACACGGUCCAGACUACUACGGGAGGCAGCAGUGGGGAAUAUUGGACAAUGGGCGAAAGCCUGAUCCAGCCAUGCCGCGUGUGUGAAGAAGGUCUUCGGAUUGUAAAGCACUUUAAGUUGGGAGGAAGGGCAGUAAGUUAAUACCUUGCUGUUUUGACGUUACCAACAGAAUAAGCACCGGCUAACUUCGUG
This 484-nucleotide ribosomal RNA is filed under the name uncultured bacterium. RNAcentral describes it as "partial 16S ribosomal RNA". It matches the Rfam family "Bacterial small subunit ribosomal RNA", at positions 30 to 507 of the family's 1533-position model. The record is from RNAcentral.